CUCCAGCCCUGCUUUGGAGCAGUUGGGAACUUCAGCAUUUUGAUCCACCUUUUUGGAGCCACCUCAUGUGAAAGAUGGAUGAGACCUUCGUCAGCAAACCUGUCUACGUAGGAGCUGGUAUGAGGAUCACACAAUGCAAGCAAAUAAAAUGAGAAAAGAUGAUUCAACAAGAGGCUUCACUGAUUUACUGUUUAACUGCUUUGACCAAAGUGCUUGGUUCUUAUAUGAAUAAGAAAGGGGAUGAGUUAUCCACCAGAAUGAAAGUUAUAUUCUGGUUUGAAGCUUCUGCUGUCAGAUAAUAUAGUUUUCUAUAGUGUGGAAGAACAGCAUCAUCUUCAAGCAAGGUGGAAUUAAGCAUGGACAGAACUGUGUUUCUCACCCAGGAGGAGGGUAGGUUUUUUUUUCUUUUUUACUUCUUAAAACUUAUUUUAAUAUUAUUCUUCCCUCCCCCACCCCAUUGGGAAAAGGCUAAAACAAUCUGGAUGGGUUUAAUUAGAAAUUAAUACAUACUGUCAUUGUAUAAAGUAAAUCAACAUUGUGGCAACAAGGGACUAUUCUUGGAAAAAGUGAAACCCAUAUUAACAAAAUAUGUCAUGGAAGAUCCCCACAUAGUGAUUUCACUGGCUGCCUGAAAGACAGACAGUGUAAAGGUCGAUGUUCUGCAUGUUCUCUGGGGCUUGUCCAUGCAACGGAAGAAGGUCUUUCCCAGACUCAGCCAAGCCUAGUUAGCUCCAACCAGGCCCUAGACCAAAAGCAAGGGAAGAGCACAUCCUUUCAAUAGAAUAAGGGUAGAAAGGGAUUCUCUGAAUGUAGUAACUAUGAAGCUAUGCCAAAGGUAGGCAGAAAAUGGGCUUGGGAGCCAGACACUCCAGGGUUCAGUAGUUCCUACCCACAGUCUUUGUGUGCUUGCUAAAUGGUGUACAUUUCUUGUUAACCACGUUAUUAAAACUUGAUCAGCAU
Long non-coding RNA from Homo sapiens (human), 960 nucleotides. Ensembl annotates it as PRDX6 antisense RNA 1. Its record names the gene PRDX6-AS1. NCBI's taxonomy places the organism in Eukaryota, Metazoa, Chordata, Mammalia, Primates, Hominidae. The record is from Ensembl.